GAUGAAGAACGCAGCGAAAUGCGAUAAGUAAUGUGAAUUGCAGAAUUCAGUGAAUCAUCGAAUCUUUGAACGCACAUUGCGCCCCCUGGUAUUCCGGGGGGCAUGCCUGUCCGAGCGUCAUUACAACCCUCAAGCUCAGCUUGGUGUUGGGCCCCGCCGCCCCGGCGGGCCCUAAAGUCAGUGGCGGUGCCGUCCGGCUCCGAGCGUAGUAAUUCUUCUCGCUCUGGAGGUCCGGUCGUGUGCUCGCCAGCAACCCCCAAUUUUUUUCAGGUUGACCUCGGAUCAGGUAGGGAUACCCGCUGAACUUAAGCAUAUCAAUAAGCUGAGGA
This 329-nucleotide unclassified non-coding RNA is filed under the name soil metagenome. Its description in RNAcentral is "partial contains 5.8S ribosomal RNA, internal transcribed spacer 2, and large subunit ribosomal RNA". The stretch from base 1 to 120 matches the Rfam family "5.8S ribosomal RNA", at positions 35 to 154 of the family's 154-position model. The record is from RNAcentral.